RNAcentral lists this ribosomal RNA (460 nucleotides) under uncultured bacterium. RNAcentral describes it as "partial 16S ribosomal RNA". It matches the Rfam family "Bacterial small subunit ribosomal RNA", at positions 338 to 795 of the family's 1533-position model. The record is from RNAcentral.
CCUACGGGAGGCAGCAGUGAGGAAUAUUGGUCAAUGGGCGCUAGCCUGAACCAGCCAAGUAGCGUGAAGGAUGACUGCCCUAUGGGUUGUAAACUUCUUUUAUAUGGGAAUAAAGUGCAGUAUGUAUACUGCUUUGCAUGUACCUUAUGAAUAAGGAUCGGCUAACUCCGUGCCAGCAGCCGCGGUAAUACGGAGGAUCCGAGCGUUAUCCGGAUUUAUUGGGUUGAAAGGGAGCGUAGGCGGGUUGUUAAGUCAGUUGUGAAAGUUUGCGGCUCAACCGUAAAAUUGCAGUUGAUACUGGCAGCCUUGAGUACAGUAGAGGUAGGCGGAAUUCGUGGUGUAGCGGUGAAAUGCUUAGAGAUCACGAAGAACUCCGAUUGCGAAGGCAGCCUGCUGGACUGUAACUGACGCUGAUGCUCGAAAGUGUGGGUAUCAAACAGGAUUAGAUACCCGUAUAGUC